AGCAGCCGCGGUAAUUCCAGCUCCAAUAGCGUAUAUUAAAGUUGUUGCAGUUAAAAAGCUCGUAGUUGAAUUUCGGGGUUAGUAGGCUGGUCGUGCCACUGGUAUGUACUGGUCUCACUGAUUCCUCCUUCCUGAUGAGCUGUAAUGCCAUUAAUUUGGUGUUGCAGGGAAUCUGGACUAGUUACUUUGAAAAAAUUAGAGUGUUUAAAGCAGGCUAAACGCUUGAAUACAUUAACAUGGAAUAAUGAAAUAGGACGAUCGAUCCUAUUUUGUUGGUUUCUAGGAUUGACGUAAUGAUUAAUAGGGGAUAGUUGGGGGCAUUAGUAUUCAAUUGUCAGAGGUGAAAUUCUUGGAUUUAUUGAAGACUAACUACUGCGAAAGCAAUUUGCCUAAGGAUGUUUUCAUUAAAUCAAGAACGAAGGUUAGGGGAUCGAAGACGAUCAGAUACCGUCGUAGUCUUAACCAUAAACCUAUGCCGACUAGGGAUCGGAUGUAUGUAAUUUUUUAAUGUACUC
RNAcentral lists this ribosomal RNA (515 nucleotides) under uncultured Glomus. Its description in RNAcentral is "SSU rRNA". It matches the Rfam family "Eukaryotic small subunit ribosomal RNA", at positions 569 to 1081 of the family's 1831-position model. Lineage: Eukaryota; Fungi; Glomeromycota; Glomeromycetes; Glomerales; Glomeraceae. The record is from RNAcentral.